GCUCCGAAAGCUGGUGGCAGCUGAUCAGAUCGAUGCUGCCUCAUUCCUCGGGGAGACUCGUACACAAACUCCAGUCAAUGCCUACGAGUAUGUCUCAAUUUUAGAGCUAUACACGUAUGACACGCUGCCAGAAGUGGCAAAUCAACGCUCCAGUGGCGACCCACAUUGGCCAUCGCAUCGCAUCGCACCGACAGCUCGUCAUCUCGAUGAUGUUCGGGGAUCGUGAAGAAGCAAAGCGAAAUGAAGACAGAGAGACCCAUCAUCGAUACCCUCCUUAGCAUUAGCACGGUUUCAGCACAUUCGCAGCAGCCCCAUCUCCGCGUCCAUCUCCAUCUCGAUCUGGCAACUGGCAUUUGGCAUCGAUAACUUAAUUCCAUCGAUGGCUGUGCAACGCGAUGCUUCUAACCCAAUUCACGGGCCAUGCAAAGUUUUUCUGGCAUCUGAUUGAACCGACCGAGUGCUGGAACUGGAUGUGGAUCUGGAUCUGGAUCUACUCUCCCCUGGCUGCUGCAACAUACAUUCGAGGUUUAGCCCGUUCACGAGGCUGCUUCUCUGCUCUGACAUUUGUCAGCUGCCAGUUGACGGAACUUUUGGCCCGGAGUCAAACCACCCAUAUGGUAGCCGAGUGCUGCUCCAUCUCUUUCGGCUCUCAGGUGACCCUAAUUACCUCCAAAGCAUGCAUGCAUUAGAGACGAGACAAAGCGCCGGGUAUUAUACUCGCCCAAUAUUAACAGUGUGCAGCAAAUUGAAGGACUGAAUCUAAGG
Drosophila persimilis is the source of this 765-nucleotide long non-coding RNA. RefSeq lists it as uncharacterized. NCBI's taxonomy places the organism in Eukaryota, Metazoa, Arthropoda, Insecta, Diptera, Drosophilidae. The transcript has 3 exons. The record is from RefSeq and is a predicted model, not a curated record.